Molecule: ribosomal RNA, 250 nt
Filed under: uncultured bacterium
Lineage: Bacteria
Description: partial 16S ribosomal RNA
Rfam family: Bacterial small subunit ribosomal RNA
Source: RNAcentral
UAAACGAUGGAUACUAGCUGUUUGGUUUAAGGAUUGAGUGGCUAAGCGAAAGUGAUAAGUAUCCCACCUGGGGAGUACGUUCGCAAGAAUGAAACUCAAAGGAAUUGACGGGGGCCCGCACAAGCGGUGGAGCAUGUGGUUUAAUUCGAUGAUACGCGAGGAACCUUACCAAGGUUUAAAUGGGGACUGACAGGGGUAGAGAUACCUUUUUCUUCGGACAGUUUUCAAGGUGCUGCAUGGCUGUCGUCAG